Molecule: ribosomal RNA, 367 nt
Filed under: uncultured bacterium
Lineage: Bacteria
Description: bacterial SSU rRNA
Rfam family: Bacterial small subunit ribosomal RNA
Source: RNAcentral
GGAGGGUGCAAGCGUUAUCCGGAUUCACUGGGUUUAAAGGGUGCGUAGGUGGGCAAGUAAGUCAGUGGUGAAAUCUCCGGGCUUAACCCGGAAACUGCCAUUGAUACUAUUUGUCUUGAAUACUGUGGAGGUCAGCGGAAUAUGUCAUGUAGCGGUGAAAUGCUUAGAUAUGACAUAGAACACCAAUUGCGAAGGCAGCUGACUACACAAAUAUUGACACUGAGGCACGAAAGCGUGGGGAUCAAACAGGAUUAGAUACCCUGGUAGUCCACGCCCUAAACUAUGGAUACUCGACAUUUGCGAUAAACUGCAAGUGUCUGAGCGAAAGCAUUAAGUAUCCCACCUGGGAAGUACGAUCGCAGGAUUG